This 1294-nucleotide long non-coding RNA is filed under the name Nicotiana tabacum (common tobacco). RNAcentral's name for it is "long non-coding RNA (NTAB_LNC014459)". The record is from RNAcentral. Lineage: Eukaryota; Viridiplantae; Streptophyta; Magnoliopsida; Solanales; Solanaceae.
AUUUCGUGAAUUUCGAUAUUUUUCGAGUCUUUUCGAUUGGGUUAUAUUCCCUUAGCCUAUUAUAAUGUAUUCGUUGUGGUUUUGACCAGAUUCGACGUGCGAAGAGGUAAAUUCGAGAGUCAAGGGCAUAGCGGAGUAGACAUUGGAUCGUCUUGAGGUGAGUAAUGACUUUAUAUGAUGCACUGAGGGUUUGAAACCCCGGAUUGCACAACAUACUACUAUGUUGAGAUGUGACACGCGUUGUAUGACGAGUGUGGGGUCAUUUACUAUUGGGUAUUGUGACUUGGUCCAUCCCAGCUGAUAUUUUUACCACGUAAUUAAUAAAGAUUUAUUGUUUUUUACUAUGAUUGGGCUUAUUGUCAUAUUUGGGCUUCGUGCCAAUUAUCUGAAAUCUUUUGUGAAUUUACAUCACUAUUUUCCUCACGAAUUGAAAUAUUAUUUGAACUCAGUCCAAUUGAAUUAUAUUAUUUUGUGAACUCAGCUACAUUUAUACUCAACUCGAGAUUUAAUGAUAAUUAUAAUAUUGUUGAGCUGAGCACUAUUGUUUUACUGAUGCCCAAGAGGCUUAUGAUUAUUUUCUGAACUGAUUGAGGCCGAGGGCCAUACGUGAGGAUAUGUUGAGUGAUGUGAGGAGGCUUUUAGGCCUCGAGUAUUAUAUGAGGAGGCUUUCAGGCCUCGUGUGUGAUGUAUGAAGGCUUUCAGGCCUAUUGAUAUUGCGCUUGGGCUGUAUGAGCCCCUUCGGAGUCUGUACAUACCCCAGUGAGCGCAGGGUACCCAGGUGAGUUGGGAGUGGGCCCGAGAGGCCGUUGCUUGUGUGUGGUGAGUUGGGGGUGAGCCUGAGGGGCUGAUGUUGUGUACUGGUGAGUUGAGAGUGAGCCCGAGGGGCUGAUACUAUACUGAGAUUUACAUAUUAAGCCCGAGGGGUAAGCUUUUGAUUUAUCUUUACUGUGGAAAUUAUUUGUCUUUACUGUUUUAAAAGAAGAAUUAUCUAAUACUCACUAUUUUACUGUAUAACUGAUUUUACUACUUGGGAUAAUGCUAUAUUGUGCCGUUAUGAGAUUUCAUAUUUUCAGUCGUUAUUUAUUUUUAUUACUCACUGGGUCGAAGUACUCACAUUACUCCCUGCACCAUGUGUGCAGAUACAGGCAGAGCUGAGUUCGCUCCUGAGCGUUGAUUCUUUCCAGACCAGGCGGUGACUAGGAGUAACGAGGUAGCUGUUGACGUCCGCAGCCCCGUUUUCUCCCUUAUCUUUGUUAUUUAUGAUAAUUCCAGACUUUGUAAAAUAUUAGUAAAC